AAUGCCUGGCCACAAUGCACUGAACUUGUAGUGAUUCGUGCACGCAUGUCGGACCUCCUCUGGUCCUGCAAUACAAUUGAACUCACCUGGUGAUUCCCCCUACGACUCAGUGAUGAAGGAAAUAGUGACAGUCUCAAAGGACCGUCCCUCACUGGAGGGCUGAGCACCAUGGUGUAGGAGGCUAGUGGGUGUGGUGUGUCGGUAUAGCAACUAUAACCAAAGGACUAGAAAACAAAAAAUAAAGUUGUCUAAUAUAUAGCUUUGGAGGAGAUACUGGGAAAAUUCAAGGACACAGAAUCGCUUAGUACAUGUAGCCACUACCGACGAUCUUCCCGACAUACCAGACAUGCCCUCCAACUAUGUGAUGGACGAGUUUUUGAAGGCACGAGAAAAAGCCAACCUUCCGAAAGAGGGUGCCAUCAAGGACAUGGCUGCUGGGUGGUACAAGGAACAUCAUGACUAGCAACCAUGAAUAUAGUAUAUAGCAACAAUUAAAAUUAAACCUUUAUUAGAGAGUAUAAUUAUCUAAUUAUUAUCUGUACGUCCUUUACCUGCGUGCUAUUAUUUUACUUAUCAUUUUUGUUCGAUUAAUUCUGUCAAACAUGUACAUACAUGUAUAUGCAAACAUUACGCACAGCCAUACAAAAAUAGUUGUUGAGUGAUGAUUAAA
Molecule: long non-coding RNA, 670 nt
Organism: Halichondria panicea
Lineage: Eukaryota; Metazoa; Porifera; Demospongiae; Suberitida; Halichondriidae
Exons: 2
Source: RefSeq, a predicted model, not a curated record